This 483-nucleotide ribosomal RNA is filed under the name uncultured bacterium. Its description in RNAcentral is "partial 16S ribosomal RNA". It matches the Rfam family "Bacterial small subunit ribosomal RNA", at positions 30 to 507 of the family's 1533-position model. The record is from RNAcentral.
UUGAACGCUGGCGGCAGGCCUAACACAUGCAAGUCGAGCGGAUGAAGGGAGCUUGCUCCUGGAUUCAGCGGCGGACGGGUGAGUAAUGCCUAGGAAUCUGCCUGGUAGUGGGGGAUAACGUCCGGAAACGGGCGCUAAUACCGCAUACGUCCUGAGGGAGAGAGUGGGGGAUCUUCGGACCUCACGCUAUCAGAUGAGCCUAGGUCGGAUUAGCUAGUUGGUGGGGUAAAGGCCUACCAAGGCGACGAUCCGUAACUGGUCUGAGAGGAUGAUCAGUCACACUGGAACUGAGACACGGUCCAGACUCCUACGGGAGGCAGCAGUGGGGAAUAUUGGACAAUGGGCGAAAGCCUGAUCCAGCCAUGCCGCGUGUGUGUAGAAGGUCUUCGGAUUGUAAAGCACUUUAAGUUGGGAGGAAGGGCAGUAAGUUAAUACCUUGCUGUUUUGACGUUACCAACAGAAUAAGCACCGGCUAACUUCGUG